Molecule: ribosomal RNA, 222 nt
Filed under: Triticum aestivum (bread wheat)
Lineage: Eukaryota; Viridiplantae; Streptophyta; Magnoliopsida; Poales; Poaceae
Description: partial small subunit ribosomal RNA
Source: RNAcentral
AUGGCUGCGGCGGCGGCGAAGGAGGCGGACAUGAAGAAGAUGGAGCUUAUGAAGGAGGUAAGAGCGCACCAAGUGGCGAUUGGGGAGCUCAACAACCUGCCUCCAUCCAGGAAGACCUGCAACAUCUUCUUCCGCAAGGACAUCAAAUCCGCCGUCGCGUCCCAGCAGAAGCAACUUGAUAUCGCCAAGGCGAAGCUGCAGAAGCUAGAUCAGGCAUCAUGA